This 244-nucleotide long non-coding RNA is filed under the name Elaeis guineensis (African oil palm). RNAcentral describes it as "long non-coding RNA (EGUI_LNC042189)". The record is from RNAcentral. Lineage: Eukaryota; Viridiplantae; Streptophyta; Magnoliopsida; Arecales; Arecaceae.
CAAUGCCUCAUUGGGAGAAUAGCUACUCUCAGCCGAUUUGUCUCAAAGUUGGCUGAAGGAUGCCUCCCUUUCUUCAAAGUUCCAUACCAAGCGAAGAACAUCAAGUAAAUAAAGGAGUGCUAAGCUGCAUUUGAGGACCUCAAGAGCUACCUCAAGUCACCACCAUUGUUAUCCUAACUAAACAUGGGUGAAGUCUUAUACUUGUAUUUAGCUAUCUCACUUUUUGCAAUGAGUUCGGUGCUGA